Molecule: non-coding RNA, 273 nt
Organism: Schizosaccharomyces pombe (fission yeast)
Lineage: Eukaryota; Fungi; Ascomycota; Schizosaccharomycetes; Schizosaccharomycetales; Schizosaccharomycetaceae
Source: the annotation of a GenBank genome assembly
CAAAAAGUAUUUAAAAUAUGUGGAUUAUAUAUAGACUCAGCAGAAGAAGCUAAUUGAGACUCUUUCGCUAGUGUAGAAAAUAAAUUUCGCGGAACAUAUCUGCAAACACUUAAACCAAAUGAACUACUAGUCGCUUUACGCGUGGAAUUGGUGGCCUCAGCAGGAAGCUCAGUUAAUUUAGGGAGUUUGUAGUUUGGAUUUAAAGAUAAGAUAUCCCAUCUUUUGUCCAAGUCAACAAGCUCGACGCCCGUAUAGGAGUCAUACCUAGCAAAA